CUACGGGGCGCUGCAGUGGGGGAUAUUGCACAAUGGGCGAAAGCCUGAUGCAGCAACGCCGCGUGAAGGAAGACGGUUUUCGGAUUGUAAACUUCUAUCAGCAGGGAAGAAAAUGACGGUACCUGACUAAGAAGCCCCGGCUAACUACGUGCCAGCAGCCGCGGUAAUACGUAGGGGGCAAGCGUUAUCCGGAAUUACUGGGUGUAAAGGGUACGUAGGCGGCUGAUCAAGUCAGAUGUGAAAGCCCGGGGCUCAACCCCGGGACUGCAUUUGAAACUGGUCGGCUAGAGUGCAGGAGAGGAAAGUGGAAUUCCUAGUGUAGCGGUGAAAUGCGUAGAUAUUAGGAAGAACACCAGUGGCGAAGGCGGCUUUCUGGACUGUAACUGACGCUGAGGUACGAAAGCGUGGGGAGCGAACAGGAUUAGAUACCCUGGUAGUC
RNAcentral lists this ribosomal RNA (439 nucleotides) under uncultured bacterium. Its description in RNAcentral is "partial 16S ribosomal RNA". It matches the Rfam family "Bacterial small subunit ribosomal RNA", at positions 339 to 795 of the family's 1533-position model. The record is from RNAcentral.